GCCGGCUUAGCUCAGCGGUAGAGCAGCGCUUUUGUAAAGCGAAGGUCAUCGGUUCAAAUCCGUUAGCCGGCU
Transfer RNA from Synechococcus sp., 72 nucleotides. It matches the Rfam family "tRNA". Rfam says of the family: Transfer RNA (tRNA) molecules are approximately 80 nucleotides in length. The record is from Rfam. NCBI's taxonomy places the organism in Bacteria, Bacillati, Cyanobacteriota, Cyanophyceae, Synechococcales, Synechococcaceae.